GUGGGGAAUCUUAGACAAUGGGCGCAAGCCUGAUCUAGCCAUGCCGCGUGAUCGAUGAAGGCCUUAGGGUUGUAAAGAUCUUUCGCUGGGGAAGAUAAUGACUGUACCCAGUAAAGAAGCCCCGGCUAACUCCGUGCCAGCAGCCGCGGUAAUACGGAGGGGGCUAGCGUUAUUCGGAAUUACUGGGCGUAAAGCGCACGUAGGCGGACUGGAAAGUUGGGGGUGAAAUCCCGGGGCUCAACCUCGGAACUGCCUUCAAAACUCCCAGUCUUGAGUUCGAGAGAGGUGAGUGGAAUUCCGAGUGUAGAGGUGAAAUUCGUAGAUAUUCGGAGGAACACCAGUGGCGAAGGCGGCUCACUGGCUCGAUACUGACGCUGAGGUGCGAAAGCGUGGGGAGCAAACAGGAUUAGAAACCCCGGUAGUCC
This 425-nucleotide ribosomal RNA is filed under the name uncultured bacterium. Its description in RNAcentral is "partial 16S ribosomal RNA". It matches the Rfam family "Bacterial small subunit ribosomal RNA", at positions 354 to 796 of the family's 1533-position model. The record is from RNAcentral.